This 68-nucleotide ribosomal RNA is filed under the name Escherichia coli O157:H7 str. K1792. Its description in RNAcentral is "partial 16S ribosomal RNA". It matches the Rfam family "Bacterial small subunit ribosomal RNA", at positions 1 to 66 of the family's 1533-position model. The record is from RNAcentral. Lineage: Bacteria; Pseudomonadati; Pseudomonadota; Gammaproteobacteria; Enterobacterales; Enterobacteriaceae.
UUAAAUUGAAGAGUUUGAUCAUGGCUCAGAUUGAACGCUGGCGGCAGGGCUAACACAUGCAAGUCGAA